RNAcentral lists this ribosomal RNA (650 nucleotides) under Anaplasma bovis. Its description in RNAcentral is "bacterial SSU rRNA". It matches the Rfam family "Bacterial small subunit ribosomal RNA", at positions 773 to 1422 of the family's 1533-position model. The record is from RNAcentral. Lineage: Bacteria; Pseudomonadati; Pseudomonadota; Alphaproteobacteria; Rickettsiales; Anaplasmataceae.
CAGGAUUAGAUACCCUGGUAGUCCACGCUGUAAACGAUGAGUGCUGGAUGUGGGGGUUUUUACCUCCGUGUUGUAGCUAACGCGUUAAGCACUCCGCCUGGGGACUACGGUCGCAAGACUAAAACUCAAAGGAAUUGACGGGGACUCGCACAAGCGGUGGAGCAUGUGGUUUAAUUCGAUGCAACGCGAAGAACCUUACCACUUCUUGACAUGAAGAUUAGAUCCUCCUUAACAGGAGGGCGCAGUUAGGCUGGGUCUUGCACAGGUGCUGCAUGGCUGUCGUCAGCUCGUGUCGUGAGAUGUUGGGUUAAGUCCCGCAACGAGCGUAACCCUCACCCUUAGUUGCCAGCGGGUAAAGCCGGGGACUUUAAGGGAACUGCCAGUGGUAAGCUGGAGGAAGGUGGGGAUGAUGUCAAGUCAGCAUGGCCCUUAUGGGGUGGGCUACACACGUGCUACAAUGGUGACUACAAUAGGUUGCAAUGUCGUAAGGCUGAGCUAAUCCGGUAAAAGUCAUCUUAGUUCGGAUUGUCCUCUGCAACUCGAGGGCAUGAAGCAGGAAUCGCUAGUAAUCGUGGAUCAGCAUGCCACGGUGAAUACGUUCUCGGGUCUUGUACACACUGCCCGCCACGCCAUGGGAAUUGGCUUAACUC